AGAGUUUGAUCAUGGCUCAGGACGAACGCUGGCGGCGUGCUUAACACAUGCAAGUCGAGCGAUGAGAUCCCUUCGGGGAUGGAUUAGCGGCGAACGGGUGAGGAACACGUGAAGAAUCUGCCUUCAACUCUGGGAUAACACCGGGAAACCGGGGCUAAUACCGGAUAUGAAACUUGGUGGCAUCACCGAGUUUGGAAAGUUUUUCGGUAGAAGAUGACCUCGCGGCCUAUCAGCUUGUUGGUGAGGUAAUGGCUCACCAAGGCGACGACGGGUAGCCGGCCUGAGAGGGCGACCGGCCACACUGGGACUGAGACACGGCCCAGACUCCUACGGGAGGCAGCAGUGGGGAAUAUUGGGCAAUGGAGGAAACUCUGACCCAGCGACGCCGCGUGCGGGAUGAAGGCCUUCGGGUUGUAAACCGCUUUCAGUAGGGAAGAAGCGAAAGUGACGGUACCUACAGAAGAAGCACCGGCUAACUAUGUGCCAGCAGCCGCGGUAAUACAUAGGGUGCAAGCGUUGUCCGGAAUUAUUGGGCGUAAAGAGCUCGUAGGUGGUUCGUUACGUCGGAUGUGAAAAUCUGGGGCUCAACCCCAGACCUGCAUCCGAUACGGGCGAGCUAGAGUUUGGUAGGGGAGACUGGAAUUCCUGGUGUAGCGGUGGAAUGCGCAGAUAUCAGGAGGAACACCAAUGGCGAAGGCAGGUCUCUGGGCCAAUACUGACACUGAGGAGCGAAAGCGUGGGAGCGAACAGGAUUAGAUACCCUGGUAGUCCACGCCGUAAACGGUGGGCGCUAGUUGUGGGAACCUUCCACGGUUUCUGCGACGCAGCUAACGCAUUAAGCGCCCCGCCUGGGGAGUACGAUCGCAAGAUUAAAACUCAAAGGAAUUGACGGGGCCCCGCACAAGCAGCGGAGCAUGCGGCUUAAUUC
RNAcentral lists this ribosomal RNA (928 nucleotides) under uncultured bacterium. RNAcentral's name for it is "bacterial SSU rRNA". It matches the Rfam family "Bacterial small subunit ribosomal RNA", at positions 8 to 952 of the family's 1533-position model. The record is from RNAcentral.